GAUGAACGCUGGCGGCGUGCCUAAUACAUGCAAGUCGAGCGAAUGGAUUAAGAGCUUGCUCUUAUGAAGUUAGCGGCGGACGGAUGAGUAACACGUGGGUAACCUGCCCAUAAGACUGGGAUAACUCCGGGAAACCGGGGCUAAUACCGGAUAACAUUUUGAACCGCAUGGUUCGAAAUUGAAAGGCGGCUUCGGCUGUCACUUAUGGAUGGACCCGGGUCGCAUUAGCUAGUUGGUGAGGUAACGGCUCACCAAGGCAACGAUGCGUAGCCGACCGGGGAGGGUGAUCGGCCACACUGGGACGGAGACACGGCCCAGACUCCUACGGGAGGCAGCAGUAGGGAACCUUCCGCAAUGGACGAAAGUCUGACGGAGCAACGCCGCGUGAGUGAUGAAGGCUUUCGGGUCGUAAAACUCUGUUGUUAGGGAAGAACAAGCGCUAGUUGAAUAAGCUGGCACCUUGACGGUACCUAACCAGAAAGCCACGGCUAACUACGUGCCAGCCGCCGCAGUAA
Molecule: ribosomal RNA, 515 nt
Filed under: uncultured bacterium
Lineage: Bacteria
Description: partial 16S ribosomal RNA
Rfam family: Bacterial small subunit ribosomal RNA
Source: RNAcentral